Molecule: long non-coding RNA, 681 nt
Organism: Salvia splendens (bonfire salvia)
Lineage: Eukaryota; Viridiplantae; Streptophyta; Magnoliopsida; Lamiales; Lamiaceae
Exons: 3
Source: RefSeq, a predicted model, not a curated record
CCCUCCUUACCUCUCCAAAAAAAAAAUCCCCAAAUCAUCUCAAACCUGAACUCUUCUCUCCCUCCUCCUUCUCGGUGAUGACACCGAUUCACCUCCGCCGUUUGCCAUCGCCGUUCACCAACGCCUCUCCCUUCGCCGUCCGUCGGUCACUGCUCCGCCAGCGUCUUCCUCACGCCGAGGGAAAUUCGUUCCUCCUUCCCCAUUCUCUCUCUCGCUCGAUUUCCCAGCCGCGCCGUCACUCCGUCGAGCUGCGGUCCUUCCCGCCGCCAUCUCUGCCGGCGUCAUCCGGGUGCACCGCCGAGACAGCCACCGCCACGAUGAUUCGCCGCUGUGGUCGGGGCUCGUCAAACGGUUGUCGUGCUGCUGCUCGGUGCGUGCAACACCGCCGUCACCUCAGGAGCUUGAGCUUGUCGUUGCAGCUCAGGCAGGUGUAAGAUGAAGCAGAGGCGGGUUGGCUGAAGCGCAGGGUGCUGCAGCUGUGCUGCUCCCCUUUUUCUUGGCUCGGAGCAGCUGGACAUGGGCUGGGGUGUGCAGGGGUUGCAGCCUUCCACCCUUCCUAUUUUGGCAAUUUUUUGUCUUCAUCAAAAAGAGGUGAAGGAGUAGUUGGCUGGAAACGGUCUCCCGCGCUAUGGCUCACUGCUCUCGGCUGGGGGGGGCGCUUGAAGGGACACUGCCAUUUCA